This 71-nucleotide transfer RNA is filed under the name Ficedula parva. RNAcentral describes it as "transfer RNA-Glu". The record is from RNAcentral. Lineage: Eukaryota; Metazoa; Chordata; Aves; Passeriformes; Muscicapidae.
GUUCCUGUAGUUAAAUUUCAAUAACGGCGGCUUUCAGGUCGCAAGUCCUGGGUAAAAGCCGGGCGGGAAUU